Long non-coding RNA from Drosophila miranda, 301 nucleotides. RefSeq lists it as uncharacterized. Lineage: Eukaryota; Metazoa; Arthropoda; Insecta; Diptera; Drosophilidae. The transcript has 2 exons. The record is from RefSeq and is a predicted model, not a curated record.
GCUAGGCCGAGCAGCACAAAGCGGGAGGCGUAAAAGAUCGGCUCAUCAGUCGCUUUGGGGGCGCGAGCCACUUAUGUGUCACGGACCCGCGAUAUAUUGGAGGCCAUCCAAUUCUGCGGAAAUUAUUAAAGCUAUGUAAACGCUUUCGUUUUAGGAACGUUGCCGCAGUCCAUGGAAGCGCUUUCAUCGCUGUUUCAACGCAUUUAUUAAAACAAAUCAAAGGAAGGCCGUAAGUGAUCCCAAAACAUAAAGAUAAAAUAUUGGAGUUUGUUUGUUAUGAGCAACUAUUUAUUGCAUGACC